RNAcentral lists this ribosomal RNA (253 nucleotides) under uncultured bacterium. RNAcentral describes it as "partial 16S ribosomal RNA". It matches the Rfam family "Bacterial small subunit ribosomal RNA", at positions 524 to 776 of the family's 1533-position model. The record is from RNAcentral.
UACGUAGGCAGCGAGCGUUGUUCGGAGUUACUGGGCGUAAAGAGCUCGUAGGUGGUUUGUCGCGUUGUUCGUGAAAACUCACAACUCAAUUGUGGGCGUGCGGGCGAUACGGGCAGACUGGAGUACUGCAGGGGAGACUGGAAUUCCUGGUGUAGCGGUGGAAUGCGCAGAUAUCAGGAGGAACACCGGUGGCGAAGGCGGGUCUCUGGGCAGUAACUGACGCUGAGGAGCGAAAGCGUGGGGAGCGAACAGG